UACGUAGGUGGCAAGCGUUGUCCGGAAUUAUUGGGCGUAAAGCGCGCGCAGGCGGCUUCUUAAGUCUGAUGUGAAAUCUUGCGGCUCAACCGCAAGCGGCCAUUGGAAACUGGGGAGCUUGAGUACAGAAGAGGAGAGUAGAAUUCCACGUGUAGCGGUGAAAUGCGUAGAUAUGUGGAGGAAUACCGGUGGCGAAGGCGGCUCUCUGGUCUGUUACUGACGCUGAGGUGCGAAAGCGUGGGGAGCAAACAGG
This 253-nucleotide ribosomal RNA is filed under the name uncultured bacterium. RNAcentral's name for it is "partial 16S ribosomal RNA". It matches the Rfam family "Bacterial small subunit ribosomal RNA", at positions 524 to 776 of the family's 1533-position model. The record is from RNAcentral.